RNAcentral lists this ribosomal RNA (467 nucleotides) under uncultured bacterium. RNAcentral describes it as "partial 16S ribosomal RNA". It matches the Rfam family "Bacterial small subunit ribosomal RNA", at positions 28 to 506 of the family's 1533-position model. The record is from RNAcentral.
GACGAACGCUGGCGGCGUGCUUAACACAUGCAAGUCGAACGGAAAGGCCCUGCUUUUGUGGGGUGCUCGAGUGGCGAACGGGUGAGUAACACGUGAGUAACCUGCCCUUGACUUUGGGAUAACUUCAGGAAACUGGGGCUAAUACCGGAUAGGAGCUCCUGCUGCAUGGUGGGGGUUGGAAAGUUUCGGCGGUUGGGGAUGGACUCGCGGCUUAUCAGCUUGUUGGUGGGGUAGUGGCUUACCAAGGCUUUGACGGGUAGCCGGCCUGAGAGGGUGACCGGCCACAUUGGGACUGAGAUACGGCCCAGACUCCUACGGGAGGCAGCAGUGGGGAAUAUUGCACAAUGGGCGGAAGCCUGAUGCAGUAACGCCGCGUGCGGGAUGACGGCCUUCGGGUUGUAAACCGCUUUCGCCUGUGACGAAGCGUGAGUGACGGUAAUGGGUAAAGAAGCACCGGCUAACUACGU